RNAcentral lists this ribosomal RNA (450 nucleotides) under uncultured bacterium. RNAcentral's name for it is "partial 16S ribosomal RNA". It matches the Rfam family "Bacterial small subunit ribosomal RNA", at positions 354 to 796 of the family's 1533-position model. The record is from RNAcentral.
GUGGGGAAUUUUGGACAAUGGGCGAAAGCCUGAUCCAGCCAUGCCGCGUGCAGGAUGAAGGCCUUCGGGUUGUAAACUGCUUUUGUACGGAACGAAAAGACUCCUUCUAAUAAAGGGGGUCCAUGACGGUACCGUAAGAAUAAGCACCGGCUAACUACGUGCCAGCAGCCGCGGUAAUACGUAGGGUGCAAGCGUUAAUCGGAAUUACUGGGCGUAAAGCGUGCGCAGGCGGUUAUAUAAGACAGAUGUGAAAUCUCCGGGCUCAACCUGGGAACUGCAUUUGUGACUGUAUAGCUAGAGUACGGUAGAGGGGGAUGGAAUUCCGCGUGUAGCAGUGAAAUGCGUAGAUAUGCGGAGGAACACCGAUGGCGAAGGCAAUCCCCUGGACCUGUACUGACGCUCAUGCACGAAAGCGUGGGGAGCAAACAGGAUUAGAAACCCGUGUAGUCC